RNAcentral lists this ribosomal RNA (465 nucleotides) under Vreelandella stevensii. RNAcentral describes it as "partial 16S ribosomal RNA". It matches the Rfam family "Bacterial small subunit ribosomal RNA", at positions 338 to 795 of the family's 1533-position model. Lineage: Bacteria; Pseudomonadati; Pseudomonadota; Gammaproteobacteria; Oceanospirillales; Halomonadaceae. The record is from RNAcentral.
CCUACGGGGGGCUGCAGUGGGGAAUAUUGGACAAUGGGGGGAACCCUGAUCCAGCCAUGCCGCGUGUGUGAAGAAGGCCCUCGGGUUGUAAAGCACUUUCAGUGAGGAAGAACGCCUGGUGGUUAAUACCCAUCAGGAAAGACAUCACUCACAGAAGAAGCACCGGCUAACUCCGUGCCAGCAGCCGCGGUAAUACGGAGGGUGCGAGCGUUAAUCGGAAUUACUGGGCGUAAAGCGCGCGUAGGUGGCUUGAUAAGCCGGUUGUGAAAGCCCCGGGCUCAACCUGGGAACGGCAUCCGGAACUGUCAAGCUAGAGUGCAGGAGAGGAAGGUAGAAUUCCCGGUGUAGCGGUGAAAUGCGUAGAGAUCGGGAGGAAUACCAGUGGCGAAGGCGGCCUUCUGGACUGACACUGACACUGAGGUGCGAAAGCGUGGGUAACAAACAGGAUUAGAUACCCCAGUAGUC